UGAACACGGAACAAACAGAACAUCUUGGAGGAUGUGGGAGGAAAUAGCUCUCCUCAAAGUCAGAUUGGGAAAAGAGGACCAAAGAAUACUCAGGAAAAGCAAUCGAUCACUGUACUGCAAUACCAGGCGAGAGAAGAAGGACUUGUACCAGAACGUUAUGAAAUAUAGUUGUAUCCUGAGUAAUUUUCCAGAAGGGGCGAAGACAACUGUGGAAUGAGAGAGAACUGGUACGAUAUCUCAAUAAUGUUAAAUACCAUUUAUGCAGCACCUUUAUGCCGUAGGUACUUAACAUACAUUUCUAAUCCUUUCAAUAAGUUUCCCCCUUUUAAAGGAAUGGAACCUUAGAAGUUAAAUGAGUCACCCAGCUAAUAAAUGCCAAAGCCUAGAUCUGAACCCUGUUGUGCAUGUUCCAUGGAGCUGACUCUGGCCACUCCACCCCCUGGCCCUUAUUUGCCAGGGCAAAAUCAAGCCUGUGUUGUCCUAGCUCCAACUGUGGUUGAGAAGUCUUGCCCAAAUAUCUUUAAUCCAAGGUGCUGUUUCCAGCCUCCCCACUGCCAAACACCAGAUCUCAUCUGCUCUUGUUCUUGAAAUAAAAAUUCUAGUUUUCAUGUUCCAAACUGAACUUGUUCCUAAAUACUGAAUUUCACCUGUGUUCUACUGUCCAAUUUUAAACCUCUGGAUUUAUUUACCCAUAUUUACAAUACCUUGGCCCUGUUAAUGUUUUGGGUCAGGUAGUAUUUUUCUUGUGGAGCCUGUCCUGUGCAGAGUAGGCUGCUCAGCAGCAUCCCUGACCUUUAUACACUUGAUUCCAGUAGCACCCCCUCCCCAGUUGUGACAAUCAACAAUAUCUAAAAACACUGCUAA
This is a long non-coding RNA of Felis catus (domestic cat), 864 nucleotides long. RefSeq lists it as uncharacterized. The record is from RefSeq and is a predicted model, not a curated record. NCBI's taxonomy places the organism in Eukaryota, Metazoa, Chordata, Mammalia, Carnivora, Felidae. The transcript has 3 exons.